Long non-coding RNA from Cydia pomonella (codling moth), 12876 nucleotides. RefSeq lists it as uncharacterized. The record is from RefSeq and is a predicted model, not a curated record. Lineage: Eukaryota; Metazoa; Arthropoda; Insecta; Lepidoptera; Tortricidae. The transcript is spliced from 3 exons.
ACGCGCUGCAAGGCUAAAUUAGCUUUUUCAUUUACGCUUUACAUCCCCUUCGGCCGCGUAUGUAACCGGAGUUUUGUAACCAGUUACCUAAGAAGAAAAAAUGAUCCUCAUAGGAUACUGGUAUCCAAGUGAUAUAUUUUUUUCCUUUCACGUAACCGAGUUACAACCUAGGAAAACUUCCUAAUGAUUACGAGUAAGUAAGUACUUUAUAUUCCUCGCAGGUAACUGCUUGAAAGAUAGGUAUGGUAUUAUCAACCUCUUUUGAUAUCAUGCACUCAACAUUCUUUAUAUAACUGACGUUUUCAUAACACCUAGCACGGUACUGCUACAACCUGAACGCACAAACUGAGACAGAAUAGUAUAGUACUGUUCUGUCUCAGCUUGUGCUGCCUACUAUUCUGCCCCGCUGCUCUGCCCUCGUGUGAAACGGGCAUAACUUUGCAACUCAAAUAUCAUGAACUAAGCGUAAUACGUUCUGUUGCCCUGGUACUUUUCACUCUUUUCUCACCACGAUAUUCGUCACUUAUUCCAGAUGUCUUCAAUUACAAAAAAAAUAAUAUGGUAUAGGUCCUCGGUAAAGCAUGGGUCCGGAUGACUCAUGGUUUCAUAAGAGUAUUAUUUAUUCCUUACUGGAUACUAGUUACGAACAAUCAUACAGGUAUCAGUAAAGGUAAAAAUCCUAUUACUUGGAUACCAGUAUCCUACGAGGAUCAUUUUUUAUUUUUAUGUAACUGGUUACAAAACUCCGGUUACAUACGCGGCCGAAGGGUUUAUUUACAUCAUAAACAAAAACCUCUUUGACAUGCCAAGGUCCCGGGCGCAAGCAAGCUAAUGUAUACCUAACUUGUAAGUGUCAAGUUUAUUUUGACAGUGUCUUAUGACAGACGUUUUUAGUUGUCCCUGGCGAUGUGGGGCUGUGGGCACGACUACAGUCAGAACAAGACAAGUCUGCAACGAUUUUGAUAGCACACGCAGAGCAAGUGUUAUUUUUCUACGUCAUAAUUUCAUAGAUGUUUGACGUGCCCCUCCCCCGCAAAAAUCAGUAGACUGUAGCAGGCUUGUUUUGUACAGAAAAUUCUCCAAUUGUCAAAUCCUCCAAGGUUAAAAUCGACAAUCUAGUCCAAACAUCUUAGAAAGGCGUCAUCAUAGUCUAUGAAUAAAGCACUAAAAAAUAAAAGUGACAUUUGUCAUUUUAUAUCGGGUGUCAUUUAAAAUCAUAAAUUUAUUUACAGAAAAUAAUUCUAAAAGAAAAUCUACCAAACAAAUUUACAAUAAAAACCAUAAAUUCCCAAGAUUUGAUCAGUGUUCCGUCCUAUUGACAAGGUUAGUUGACUUUUAUUCUACUAAGAUUGCAUGCGUUUGCUGCUGUUGACUAUAAGUAUAGCGGACUUGCAGACCUGCGAUAAUUAUCAUUGUAUUUCCAACUGACUUUUAAAAGGAGGAGGCUCUCCAUCCGGCUGAUUUUAUUUAACGAGAUAACGACAAACCCAAAAAGAUAGAGUUAUGAUUUUAGCAGUUUUUGUGUGCAUGUCUUUGAUGUGUCUAAAGAAUAAAUUACUCUUGGUGAAUUGGAGCUGCUCCUAAAAAACAUUACACCGUCAAUGUUAACUUAUAAGUAUUAUGAUGAUAGCUUUAUAGUCGUUCGUAAGAUAUUAGCAUGCUGGUAUAACCUGUAAAGUACUAAUAGCAGAAUAAGCAACCAAUUGCCACCUACCACGUAAAAACACUAUACUUAUUCUUUACAAAUAAAUACUGUAGUUAGGUAGAUACUUUGUUAAUUAUAUUCCAUAUCUGAUCAUUAGAUUUAUUUGUUGAAAUUUGUUGAAAAAGAGGACCUGUUCUAGUGCUCAUUAAGAUCGUAUAAUGAUCAACGGAACUCCAUAAUAAACCAAUUUACCUAUCCUAGUCAUGUUUGGAACAAUUGAAAUAAGAUGCACAAGUAUAUGUGAGUAAUAAAUGAUUUCAAAGGUAUUUUCACUACUCUUAAGUUAUUAUUAUUAUUAUACUCGUUGUAUUCCGAGGUUAUAAGCAUUAUUUGUUAUAAGUUAACUGUAGUCGAGCACGACGUUCUAAUAUUUAGAAUUAAUGGUUUCGUAGCCAAAAUGGCAAUAAAGAUCCAUCCGUCCGUCCGUCCGCCCGUUCGUCCGUCCGUCCGUCCGUUCGUUCGUCGGCCGUCCGUCCGUCCGUCCGUUCGUUCGUCGGCCGUCCGUCCGUUCCCAGCUGUCCGUCCUUUGUCUGUCCGUCCGUCCGUCCGUCUGUCUGUCUGUUUGUCUAUUUGUAUGUUAGAGCCAUUAGACUAGGAGUGUAUAUAGGUAUAAUAAUGAUAAUGACAUUUAGGAUGUAGGUAGUAAAAACGUAUAAGCUACUCUUUUUUACAGAGGCAACCAGGCGUACGGCCCGGCCCGUCCGAUAGUUUAGUUUAGUUUAUUCAUAUCACAUACUUACAGGUUUCAUUUUAUUAAGUUAGCUUAACCGUUAUAAAACGAUUGUUUAGAUACUUAUGCAAAGUAAGUUCCAGAAGAAGAAAAUGAAAAAUGAAUUACUAGUUUUGAAUUUUGACAAAGUAUUUAUAUAAGCACCAGGUUUUAGUAAUGUUACAGCAAGUCGGCAAUCUACGACGGUCGCUUAGCUUACGAGUAGUUGCUGGUGAUUCUACCCACAAAACUGCAAAUCCCGGGUUCGAUUCCCGAUAAGGGCAUUUAUUAGCAUGAUGAACACGGAUAUCUUUAUUUGUUUAUGUAAGCCCAUACAAGCUUUUAUUUAACUUGCUCUGUUAGUAUGUAAGUUUGUUAGUUAGGGUGGGUCAAAUCUUGGAAACUAAAAUUGACCCACUUCCCGAUUCCCGAUUAAGCUGAAGAUUUGCAUACAUAAUAACAUAUAAGUCGGGUGACAAUGCAAUAUUAUGGUACCAUCGAGCUGAUCUGAUGACGGAUACAGGAGGUGGCCAUAGAAACUCUGUGAUGAAACAACGGAACUAUAUUGUGUUUGGGGUUUUUAGAAUUAUCUCGAUGAGUAUUUAGUUACCUAUGGUAAGAAAAGUACAGUCAGCGACAAAGGUUUGUACCCAAAAAAGAUAAAAACUUUUUUUUUUGGCAAAAACUUACCUAUUUAUAAAACAGUUUCGUUACUUAUAUACUGACAGACAACACAUACAGCUUAAUAAAUCGUUGAAGUUAAAACUAUGAAAUUUAAAACAUUACAUAUAUAGUACAAAUGAUGUAGAGGUGCCCUAAGGUAGGAUUUUCUGAAAUUUAACCCUUAAGGGGUAAGAAGGGGCUUAAAGUUAUUUAAGUUAUCUUUAAUUAUGUGAGUGUAUUUUUCAGUUAAAAUAUAAGUGAUUGUGACUGAUAAUGUUUUUUUAUUUUCAUAACUGCAAAUCUGCUUUCAACUGGCCUGGAUAUACAAGGAGACAAAUCAUGAAUGGACCAGAGCAACUAUGUUGAGCUACCUUCUUAUAAUAAUUAAGAAGUGGAGGGCGAUCCUUAUUUUAACAGUCGGAAACUUAUGCCUGACGAAACCGAGACGUUAUAUAAAAUGCAUUUAUGGUAAGAUAUUGUGUAUACAUAGAAAUGUAUAUUCCCAAUUAUUUCCAAAUCAGUUCUACUGAUCUAGUUGCAGUUAUAUGUAAAGCAUUUGUGAUACACCAGCGAUGGUUAUUAGAUGGUUUUGAGGUGACAUUGUUAUAAUUGUCGAUUUUUUAAAAUUUAAACUUAAACUUCUUAAAGACUACACAUGCGCAGGCAUGUAUGUUCGUAACAAGUAAGUCAAAGAUAUGUAAGCCUAUAUCUUCUUUAAGUAAUUUAAGAUCAUAUGAAUUUAUCCUCGAAAAGUCUAGAUUUUCUCAUUAUGAAAACGCUACCCACUGAGUGAUUAACCUUGAUACUUUUUUAUUUGUUUUGAAAUUCGACCAACAUUUGUAAUAGUGUCAUAUGAUUAAAUAAAUGAAUAAAUUACAAAUAUACUGAUAUCCCAAGAAACAGAAAAAAGAAUCGCAUAAUAUUGCCGAGUUAUGUCUGUGGGUUAGCUUAGAGAAGAACCACUAAUUACGAGUACAUACUCGUAUUACCAAUACUCUGUCUAUGAAGUAGGCGAGCCUGGCUUCGAAUCCUCGUACGGGAAUUUAAUUGAUAUGUUUUUUGCAAAUACCUUGGUAACCUUUUUGUUACGAUGUGAGAACUGUUACCUAAAACUAAUGUAAGUACUUUUGUCAAGGUAGAGAACUAUAGUACAAUGGCUACAAAUAUACAUAAAUAGUUGGUACCAAAUAUGAGUCGUGCGUAACAGAAAUAAAAUAUUUUUUAUGUCAUAUUCCCCUAUAGGUACUAGGAAACUUUAAUGUGUAACUCAUCAUCCCUUAAUGUGUGUUUUUUUUUGCAUUGCUUAGACGAAAAGCUCUUCAUUAGUUUGGCUACGGCGGUGAUCAGGUGUAAUCGGAGCGAUGUUGUCAAAUUGAAACGGAGAUAAUUUAUAAUUAUAUUGGUGACAAUAUUGGCUUGUUUUUAUUUUGUAAGUAGGUGUGUAGUUUUAACCUAAAUACUUAUUUAAAUAAUCUUCAGAGUGGUACUGUCAGCAUCUAUCAUAGUGGAUAAAACAACGCGCCAAAAGUAUCUGCCACCAUCGAACACUUUUCCAAUAUAUCUGUACAGUUCGCGUUACAAAGUAUUUUGUCGCAGUUGAUUUUUUAGGGUUCCGUACCCAAAGGGUAAAGCGGGACCCUAUUACUUAGACUCCGCUGUCCGGCCGUCCGUCCGUCUGUUCGUCCGUCCGUCCGUCUGUCCGUCCGUCCGCCCGUCUGUCCGUUCGUCCGUCCGUCCAUCUGUGCGUCCUUUCGUCCGCCCGUCCGUCUGUUCGUCUGUCCGUCCGUCUGUCCGUCUGUCCGUCCGUGCGUCUGUCUGUCUGUCCGUCCGUCCGUCUGUCACCAGGCUGUAUCUCAUGAACCGUGAUAGUGAGAAAGUUGAAAUUUGCACAGAUAAUGUAUUUCUGUUGCCGCUAUAGCAACAUAUACCUACUAAAAAACAAAAUUAAAUAAAUAUUUAAGGGGCCUCCCAUACAACAAACAUAUUUUUUUGCCGUUUUAUAGAUAAUUGUACGGAACCCUUCGUAGAGUCCAACCCGCACUUGGCCGGUUUUUUGUGUAUAGAGACGUAUCUCUUUAGGUUAAGUUAUAUGUAAAGCAUUUGUGAUACACCAGCGAUGGUUCUUAGAUGGUUGUGAGGUGACAUUGUUGUAAUUAUCACUGUUUUUUUUUUUAAAUUUAUACUUAUAGUACUUAGUAUUAGCUUCUUAAAGACUACACAUGCGUAGGCAUGUAUGUCCAAUGUGUGUAUGAAUGUAUAUAGAAUGAUAGCUACUUUUGAUGCUGACUAUACGUAUAAGUAGCGGCUGUAGAGUUCGGAACAUUUGACUAGGUAUAUCUAAUAAGUGUAAUGUUAAAUGUAAAUCCCUACUAAUAUUAUAAAUGCGAUUAGUAUCUAACUCUGAUUCAAAUGAAGUUCAAUUCAGGGAGUCCUCGGAGAUAGGAUGUAGGUUAGUUUUAUCCUGAAAUCCUGUCUACAGGAGAUGAGAAGGGAAUAUUGGAUCGCGUACGCAAUACAUAUUUUUAACUAACUACCUCUUAGCCAAUUUGAAACAUUGCAAAAAAAAACCCUUUCAUUAUAAUAAGUACCUAAUUAUGUUACUAAUAAAUAAAUAAAUAAAUAAAUAAAUAUUAUAGGACAUUAUUACACAAAUUGACUAAGUCCCUCAGUAAGCUUAAUAAGGCUUGUGUUGUAGGUACCUAGGCUUGUGUUGUAGGUACUAAUUAAGCCUUAUUUAUAUCUAUUGAUUUUGUAUCAUAAUGUAAAGCGAAGUAUUUGCCGUGCACGUAGGUAUGUACGAGUAUGGAAUCAUAUCGUUAAGUAUGUAUGUGUGUUCGUAUAUUACAUGUGACGAAGAUGUUGAUAUUUGUAAGAAGGAUCCCUACAAACUACUUUAAACUGAGAAGUAGGCGGUCCCAGGUUCGAAUCCUGGUAAGAAAAUAUAGAUGCUACAAUCCACUUACUGCACCAGUUAGCAGAAUUGAAACUAAGAUAACUGUUUGUAGCCUUUUGGAUAGAAACCCUGGCUAAGAAAAAAGCGACUCUGGGUUCGAAUCCUUGUUAGAAAACUAAUUUAUAUGUGGAGACUUGAGAGGUUUUUAUUGGACGUACUUUCGCCACUCUUAGAAAUUAAAUAAACUUCCUAAAUUUAAUCAGUGUGAAUAAAAAAGUAUACAUAAUAUAUACUGAAUAGGCAUUCUUCGCAAACUGAAUAGAAUUGACCAGAAUAGGUUUUUUUACUGAUCAUGUAAACUUGACAAAGUUAUCUUAUUAAACACGUCCAUAUGUUGCUUAUGCAUGUAUGUAUGUAGUUGCGCUUUUGAUUUAACUCCCGUCUUCCAUUACGAUGGUACAAAAUACAAACGGUAAGCUUUACAUAAUAUGGAUACCCGUUAUCAAAAUUCUAAAUAGCCCCACAAGUGGGUUGGUCUAAUAGCAUUUUGCGAGUCGCAUUCCAAGUUACAGUGGUAUAUAGGUAUACAAGGAAACAAUACCAAAGGUAUUAGAUGUAAAAAAUAUAUAUUAGGGCAUUACCUUACAACUUCCUAAAGUGGAGAUGAGUUUGUUCUUGUCGAUCACACGGUCUCAAGUAUCAUUGUGCAGGUAAUCCAUUUCCCGCCCAGGAGCCUAAAGUAUAAUUGAGUGCUAGUCAAAGUUUAGAACUCAGAAUUAAAAAAGGUUUCUUUCUCUCGAAAAGGCGUCGCCAUUGUUUAAUAUCUAUUUCAUUUUGUUUAUUUUUUUACGAUAAUCUACACACUUCUACCAUUCUUACUAUAUAUAUUAUAAAUAUUAUAAAUGCGAUAAUAACUCAUAUCACUCGUCUUGCUUAUGGAAAAAAUCCAGAAAGCGUUUCUGCGAUUAUUAUAUAAAAAGGUUUACGGGUAUUACCCAUAUUUGUACCCAUCAAAGUUCCUGCUUGGCGUUUUAGGGUUUAAUUCUUUAGAGGUGAGACGUAACUACGGGCUAUUGACUACUGUAUGUAACGUCUUACGGUGGAACUCAGACUGGCCUGAACUGGUUGCACAGCUCGUACGCCUGUUCGUUCCAUCUGUGGCUAAGGCCCAAUUUAAUUUCCGACCACGAAUUCGUCACCUAUUAGCGGUGCCUAAAACACGCACUAUGUCCCAUGGCAAAUCACCACUUGUCCGCGCUCUACAAUAUAUCGCGCUCCUCGCAUCAGCACCGGAAUGUAAUGUAUUUGCAAGUAGUAGGAUGGAUAUGUGUAAAGAAUGUAUGAAGUUCUGUGAGACGAUGGAUAAGCGAGAAUCUUCUGUUUUUUAUUUGUUUUUCUUUCUUAACUUUGUUCUCUUUUUCCUUUCUAGACUGUAUCAUGUACCUAGUUUGUAUACAUACUGUCUAUUAAAAAUUUCACAGUGUAUUAGUUUGCUGUAAUGCUGUGUAAAUUUUUUGAAUCAAUAAAAUAAAAAAUAAACUCUGUGUAAAAUUUGGUAUGGAGAUUGUUUCAGAGCCGGGGAAGGACAUCAGGAUAGUUUCUAUGAUUCAUCAUCAUUCUACGUCUACGCGUACGAAGUCGAGGGCAGAAACUAGUACUUAAAUAAAUGUAAUAUAAAUAAUAUUACUUAAUUAAGAGGGUAACAUAAAUAAUAACUAGACUUCGAUAGGUACCUAAAACAGUUUUAUAUUAAAUCAGGUUUCGUUGGAGGAAGAGUCAGAAUUUUGAGCAACGAUGCUAUGCGAGAAGUCGCGCAAAACAACGCGAGUUGCGUAUCCUGUACUGGAGGCCAAGACCCACGGUGCUGCUGAUUUACAAAUGAAAAUUUGUGUAAUGAUAUGCAAACGAAACCAGAGGAAUUAAGUGUUCAGCGGAACUGCUCCUGAAAAAAAGAUUGCUGUCAUAAGAGAUGCGGGUAUCUACUUUCAAUAUGUGUGACCAGCCUAUAAGAUCGAACCUGAAGCAAACAAGACAAUUUACCCUUAAAUGUAUUAGUAUAAGUUUGCCUAUUUAUUAUUAAUUCUCCAUAUUGCCUAAUAAAACAACUAUAUUGUGCAUUAGAAGACAGUAUCAUCCGGACAUGGUAUAUCAGAAUGUUACGUUCUGUGGAUAUACUCUGUUCUAAUGCACAGACAUUUUUAUUGUGUGAUUAAUUCAUGGGAUCCAUAAAUUGAGACUAUGACGAUUGCCCAUGGUAUGUGUUUAGUAGUAGUAGUAAGAAAAGCAUUCCUUUUUACCAAUUUGAGAAAGGCCCUUUUUUCUUGUAUCGUCGUCAUAUAUAUUAUGUCAACCUUAAACUUGUAUGUAGUAUUAAAGUCACUUCUAGGGUACUUUUGAAGGUUUAAUUCUACUUACUUACAUAUAUGACAUGACAAUAGGGUUAGUGGAAGAAAUAAGAUGUAGACGAGUGCAUGCUAUAAUAGCGUAAAUUAAGUAUCUAUAAGUAUUACUCCUUCAGUAUUAGACCUAUAUAGAUGAGCCUUUCAGCUUUUUUUGGACAACAUUUGUAACACUUGAUGAGGUUAUUGUACAUUUUUUUUUCCUUUGCUACUAUCUACUCAGGUUGCAUUUUUUGUGAUCCAAGCUUGCCUUUUGGAGUGAAAUAUAAUGGCGAAAAGAUGAAUGUAAAUAUUGUUGUCCAUUGAUAACGUUCUCUGCAGAUUUUGACGGCGAAAUUAAUAACACUGUCAAUAACUAUAUACUUAUUUUAUUAUUCAUAUUUUAAAGGGACUCUUAUUAUAAAAGUAUGAUACAAAUUUCGGAUCGGCAAUCCAGAGGUGUGGGUUCGAGUCCCACGAUGGCCACAGUUCAUCAUCACAGUUAAUUUAUUACAUUGUGAUUGACAUCUGUAUAUACAAUUCAUAAAGUAUACCAUUUUAAUAUUUGCUGCCCACCUUAUUAAAUUUUAGAGAAGAAGAAACAAUAUACGAGAAGUUCUGUACUAAGUGCAUAAAUACCAACAUAAUGACAAUAUUGUGUAAUAAUUCUGUCUAUUUUUGUUAAGUACCUACGUUAUAAUGUAUAGUUUUUAUUUUAUUUAUUGAUUAAUUAGUCACCUUAGGAUGUCGUUAUAGGUACUUGCUAAGCUAUAGGUUUAGCUUGUAAGACUCCAGUAACAUCAUUAUUAAGAUGUAACUCGUUUGUAACUACAGGAUCUACAAUAGCGUCUUAUAAGGGUGAAGUAUUAUUUUCUUUUCCGAUAUAAGGAGCUCUAAAAGACUUUUUUACGCCUGUUUAGACCCAGAAAACGCAAAUAGCAGCUGCUUAUUGCGUGUAUGGAUGUUAAGGUUGUACGAUUCACUUUAAGCUGUAACACUAACUUCUUACAAGUAGCAUGCAUUAUAGCGACCAAUACAGCUACCUGUGGCUCGGUGAACCUCUUAAACACUUUUAUGUCAACUGUACCUGUAGGCUAAGACUACGAGUAUGUAGCUAUUCUAGAGCUGUUUUAUGUCUAUAUUAGGUUCGGCUUUUCGUCCGUCUGUCUCUCUCUCUCUCUCUCUCUCUCUCUCUAUCUCUAUCUCUAUCUCUCUCUCUCAGUUACCACUUCACGCUUAAACCGCUUUAGAUAAAAUUUGUUCUGGAGGUAGUUUGAGGCCCGAGGAAGAUAAUAGGAUAGUUUUUAUCAAUCAUCAUCAUCAUCCCACGCAGACGAAGUCGCAGGUAGAAGAUGGUUAACUAUAAUAAUGGAUUGGAUAACAAUGCGUACGGUUACAGAUAACUUCUUGAUACGUUUUUGGUGACCGUAAAAAAUAAUAGCAGCAUGCAGAGGCCUUGGAAAUUGCACUUAAAAUGUAAUACUUAUAUAAGCUGUAUAUAAUGUAAAUACGAGUAUAUCGAUCACUUAUAGACAGGAAGGAAACUUAUUGUAAGGAAAUGUGAUGCAGUCGGCGAGACAAUACAAAGUCGUAUAGAUAAUAAUAUAAUAUAUUAAUGUAAAAGGCUGAAAGAGAAUAGGUAAACUGAUUAUGUAAUUGAUGAUUCGACCAAGAAGAAAAUGAAUGACUGAGAUGUCUAGUAACCGAAGUCUGAAAGCGAUACUAAGGGCCAGUCGCACCAACCGCAAUUAGCGGACUGAUUAACGUCACUCACCGGUGACAUGAAAUUUCCUAAAAAAUAAAUUUAAGUAGUGAAAGCUUUAACUGUGACAAAUGGUCUGUGUACGUGAGAUAUGCAAACGGAUGACAAACUGCUAUAAUAGUACGGGCACGUCUGAAAAUAUCGAUACAAAAAAAGUGCCAAAAAUAUGUGUACACGACUUUAUUGCCCAUAUAUUAAGGUGGUGUAUAUUUCAGACGUACGUUACUGUACGCCCCUAUUAUUAGAGUGGAACCAAGGGCAAGAUUUUUAAACUCUUUUUUUAUUUAGUUUACAUAGUAGCGUUACAAAAUCGUUUAUAUAAGGUAUAAUUAUGGUAAAAGGGAAUGCACUAUUAUAUUUCUAAAGUCGUCGUUACUAGUCGUGCCCACAGCGGCGUGGCGCGGUGGGCACGACGAGCGACGACGCAUUUAGGUGUUAUUGGCGUUCAAAGGGUUAAAAAAAUCAGUAUGAAGUGCCUACCGCGAAAAUCAAAAUUUUGCUAUCCGUCUAUCACUCUUGCAUAAACGAGCGAUACAAUGGCGGAUAGAGAAAUUUCGAUUUUCGCGGUAGACCUCGAUGGUCUACCGUGAAAAUCGUUUUUGGUGACCAUAAACAACGCAUUAAUCAACAAAGCCGUAAUAUUAACCCCCUUAGUACAUUAACCUUACGUCUAUGGACGGUAGAGAACUCCAUACUUACGUCCGAAGUACGUAUCGGGUCUACGUUGGUCAAUUUAGAUAUACUAAUAGUCGCGUGUCACCAUGAGGUAUACGGCCGUUUCCGAUUAGCGUUUUAUACAAGCGUACGUGUACGCGCGUGUAAGCUGGUAUAGACUAAAUGUAGGUAAAAGUAACGCGCGCGUAUGCCCGUAAAAAGCAAAUGCAGGGAAAUGUAACGCGCGUAUAAGCUCGUAUCGCUGUAAGGGCCGUAUACGCUAGGCUGAAACCGCUCAUAACGAAGCGGCCGAAGUGCACAAAAAAAUCGAAACAUGCACUCUAACGCCUUGACAAUAGAGGCAUGUUCAGAUAUUUGUGAGUAUCUUGGCCGCUCCAAUAUAUAUAAUGGCGACUACAUAUUACCAAAGAGCAAAUUUUGUAGCCACAGUAAAGUUACUGCCAUCUUUCGACAUAUGAUUAAAACUUUUGGAACGCACGAAUAAAAAGUGGCAACAUCAUACCAAGCAUCGGCUAAAGGUUGUGGCGCCAUCGCUCGAAACGAUACCGCCAUGCAUUUGGCUUUUGAUCUAUUAGAUUUAUUCAUUAACAAAUUUAACAUAUAUCAGUGAAAGAAUAAUGAUCAAAGUCAAAUGGCGUUCUAAAAGUUUUAAUCAUGUGUCGGAAAAUGGCAGUAAUUUAUCGUGGUUACAAAGUUUUUUUUUUAGAAUCCACCUCUAUUUCAAAUUCUCUUUAAUACCCAUACAUUAACCCUUUGAAUGCUUUAUGUCAUAAACACAACAUCAGUCAAACACCAAAAUCCCGGGCGCAAGGGGGCCAAUGUAAACCUUAGGUAUUCGAAAGUGUGAAGGUUACUUUGACAGCGUCUGCCAGAACACCUAUAGGUGUCCUUGGCCCUGUGGGUACGACAAGUAACGACGAUUGUAGGUAUUUUUGGCGUUCAGAAUGUUAAUCUGUACUGCAUAUCUCGUUUUCGCUCAUCCUAACCUAUCACCCAUCCUGCGUCCAUAGACGGUAGAGAAAGGACGAAAAUCUCUUAUGACAGAACUAUUGCAAAAGUAACCAGCUUUCAGCUUUAACCUUUUGAACGCCAAGAGCCACUAAAGUGGUCGUGUGCUGUCGUGCCUACCACGCCAACGACCACUAAAGAGGUCAUGGCAGACGCUGUCAAAGCAAUUUUACUGUUGACAGAUAAGGUUUAAAUUCGUUUCUCAAUAGUUGACAUAUUGGCGUGUAUGCCACAUUUUGAUGAGAGGGAGAAAGCGUUGAAAAGGUUAACCCUUUGCCAGGCUAAGGAAUAUUAUUUCACACAUGCGGCUCUUCAAACAUGUGUUCUAUUUUCGAUGAGUAAGACUGACAUUCGAUUGUCAUUUUUGAACUGUCAGCCUGGUAAAGGGUUAAAUAAUAGUUCCUAAUCUCUCCGGUGGCGCUAGGUAGGCUCAUGGAUAUUACAUGAAUCAUAUACGUAUAAUAACAUAGAGAUGAAAUGGGGAGGGGCAGCAAAUAACCCGACCAAAUUACGACGAGCCUACCUAGCGCCACUGGAGAGAUUAUUAGGAACUAUAAUUUAACCUUUUGUACCUAACCCUUACUUGAAAAAAAGUUUACUUUGACAGCGUACGUCAUGACACCUAUAGUUGCCUUGGCGCUGUGGACUAGAUAACGACGCUUUUAUUUUAUUUUCUUGGCGUUCAAAGGGUUAAAGCUGAAAGCUGGUCACUUUUGCAAUAGUUCUGCCAUAAGAGAUUGUCGUCCUUUCUGUACCGUCCAUACUUUAGAUUGACCUAUGUUAGCCCAAUUUGACAUUGCAAAUGUCAAGCAGAAUUAGCUUUAUCCGACACGACAGUGUGUACACCAACCAUACAAAUGGCGACAGCACACGAAAACUGAUUGCAUUCACACUGCGACAGAGUUAAGCGCCACCAUAGCGUUAUAUUCCUAUAAAAAUGUGGUGUUUACCUAGUGGCGCUAGCACACUUUGGAGGGGAAGGACAUUAUUGUAAUAUUUAUAACACAAACGUUAUGAUUUUUUUCUAAUGUCAAGCAAAUGUUAGUCCAAUUUAUAUACGUUAAAUAAAGUAUCUGAAUGAUA